UAGGGAAUCUUCCGCAAUGGACGAAAGUCUGACGGAGCAACGCCGCGUGAACGAUGAAGGCCUUCGGGUCGUAAAGUUCUGUUGUUAGGGAAGAACAAGUGCUAGUUGAAUAAGCUGGCACCUUGACGGUACCUAACCAGAAAGCCACGGCUAACUACGUGCCAGCAGCCGCGGUAAUACGUAGGUGGCAAGCGUUGUCCGGAAUUAUUGGGCGUAAAGCGCGCGCAGGCGGUUUCUUAAGUCUGAUGUGAAAGCCCCCGGCUCAACCGGGGAGGGUCAUUGGAAACUGGGAAACUUGAGUGCAGAAGAGGAAAGUGGAAUUCCAAGUGUAGCGGUGAAAUGCGUAGAGAUUUGGAGGAACACCAGUGGCGAAGGCGACUUUCUGGUCUGUAACUGACGCUGAGGCGCGAAAGCGUGGGGAGCAAACAGG
This 430-nucleotide ribosomal RNA is filed under the name uncultured bacterium. RNAcentral's name for it is "bacterial SSU rRNA". It matches the Rfam family "Bacterial small subunit ribosomal RNA", at positions 355 to 776 of the family's 1533-position model. The record is from RNAcentral.